AUUGAACGCUGGCGGCAGGCUUAACACAUGCAAGUCGAGCGGAGCGAGGGUGCUUGCACCUUAGCUUAGCGGCGGACGGGUGAGUAAUACAUCGGAACGUGCCCAGUCGUGGGGGAUAACGUAGCGAAAGCUGCGCUAAUACCGCAUACGAUCUAAGGAUGAAAGCGGGGGAUCGCAAGACCUCGCGCGAUUGGAGCGGCCGAUGGCAGAUUAGGUAGUUGGUGGGGUAAAGGCCUACCAAGCCGACGAUCUGUAGCUGGUCUGAGAGGACGACCAGCCACACUGGGACUGAGACACGGCCCAGACUCCUACGGGAGGCAGCAGUGGGGAAUUUUGGACAAUGGGCGCAAGCCUGAUCCAGCCAUUCCGCGUGCAGGAUGAAGGCCCUCGGGUUGUAAACUGCUUUUGUACAGAACGAAAAGGCUCUGGUUAAUACCUGGGGCUCAUGACGGUACUGUAAGAAUAAGCACCGGCUAACUACGUGCCAGCAGCCGCAGUAA
This 500-nucleotide ribosomal RNA is filed under the name uncultured bacterium. RNAcentral describes it as "partial 16S ribosomal RNA". It matches the Rfam family "Bacterial small subunit ribosomal RNA", at positions 30 to 523 of the family's 1533-position model. The record is from RNAcentral.